AACCCUAAAGUAACCCUAGACAUUUCCUUUUCAAUCGUUAAGCCGACCCUUAACACUCCUCUAAGAGUCGAUCCGCCACCAUGAACGGAGACCAGCCCGUCCAGGCCUCAGAGUUGUUUUUCAGCCUUUAAACCCCUUCUAUAUUUUGAUUUCGACGAAGAAGAAGAAGUUUCAUGGCGUAUUUACAAGGUACGGAGCGUGUGCUGGCACUAGGCGUGAGGGUGGCGUACGGCCUGUUGACGUGGAGGUACGAGUGGCGUUGGGCUGCACGGCCGCUGAAGGUUGCCGCGCAAGGGAAAGAAACCCUAGAGUUUCUGUUUCUAAAGUCUUUUGGGUCAUUUGGGCCUUGUAACUUUGGGUUGUUUUGUAAAUGGCCUUGUAACUAAGCUAUUGGGUCUGAUAUGUAAAGGACUAAUAAUUGGACUUUUUAUUAUUUGGUUUUUUUUAUAUUUAUAUUUUGUAUUUUGGUUCUUCUUCAGGCCCAGGCAAAAAUGGCCCAUUACAAGUACUUGGAAGUUGAUAUAAUUUGAUAAAAUGAUUUAUGGUUGAUAGA
This is a long non-coding RNA of Gossypium arboreum, 553 nucleotides long. RefSeq lists it as uncharacterized. The transcript is spliced from 2 exons. The record is from RefSeq and is a predicted model, not a curated record. NCBI's taxonomy places the organism in Eukaryota, Viridiplantae, Streptophyta, Magnoliopsida, Malvales, Malvaceae.